UGGUUGUUAAGCAGCAACAGCAAUGACUGCUUGCUUUCCCUUGAUUUGGCUACUAGAAGCAGCCUCAAUUCUAUUCAUUUUCUUAGGCAGUGGUACAGGGGUGGACGAUUUCUCGUUUGGUUGAACUUUGGUUUUAGCUGGAGCCUUAGCAGUAGGUGUUGGACGCACUAUGAUUGAAGCACCUGGAGAGCACACCACUAGUCAAUAUAAUGAACAAAGAGUUACAUCAAAAACGGUUGGAACGACACAACACUUAAAGCUUCAUCAUGUGCAAUUUCAAAGAAUUUGAAGGUGACUUAGACUUCACCGUUACCAGUUAAACAUUAGCAAUUAGGAAUCGAGUAGCAUGCAAGCAAGAAAGCCAUUAAUAUCCACACUUUGUCAAUGUACCCCGACUUUGUUGAGCCACCCCACACUUAAUUCCCAUGCUAAUACAUAAUAUAAAGUUGUAAACCUGGAGGCUCAGGCUCUAAUUGGGACUAAGAUUGCCUUUGAGGUAAUUUACUCAAACACCUUGCAUACACCAAUUGUAUGUGAGCUUCUUUAUGGGUGGGGGAUUGUCUCACCCUCCCAAAUUAGUUUGGAAAUUGAGUGUGAAACACUCUUUCAAUAAUAAUAACAAUUCAUAUGGGGUUUAAGGGGUUUGGGGCAGUGUCAGCACAAGUCACCAUAUUAGAUCAUAAAAGCUUACAAGCUUGCUAUACUAUAUCACCAUGCUAAGAGAGAGAAGAAAAUAUAUCUUGUAGUUGAGGGAGGAAGUGGUGUGUGCAUGUGAAGUGUUGUAAAGUAUGGGGCAGUAAUGGAUUGGGGAGAGUCGAGAGAGAGGUAUAUGAGAGUUUUGUUGUGUUGGCUGUAUUUUAUGUCUCUUAAAAAAUUACGAUAAAAAAUAGAGAAAAAGGAGAAAUUACUUAUCUGGCACCCAAGGACUAGUCGCAUAGUGCUCUAUGUGUGUGCUUGUGCUUCGUCAGGCUAGGGGUGGGAAUGUUUGGGCGCGAGGAACCCUU
This 1004-nucleotide long non-coding RNA is filed under the name Nicotiana tabacum (common tobacco). RNAcentral's name for it is "long non-coding RNA (NTAB_LNC009255)". The record is from RNAcentral. Lineage: Eukaryota; Viridiplantae; Streptophyta; Magnoliopsida; Solanales; Solanaceae.